AAGUCGUAACGGACGUUAACCUAUAGUUUUACUAUUGGUAGCGGUUAGUGGUCGGACUGUGAGUAACACGUAAGCAACCUGCCUAUCAGAGGGACAACAGUUAGAAAUGACUGCUAAUACCGCAUAUGCCUUAGUAACACAUGUUACAAAGGGAAAGAAGCAAUUCGCUGAUAGAUGGGCUUGCGUCUGAUUAGAUAGUUGUGGGGUAACGGCCUACCAAGUCGACGAUCAGUAGCCGGGCUGAGAGGUUGAACGGCCACAUUGGGACUGAGAUACGGCCCAGACUCCUACGGGAGGCAGCAGUCGGGAAUAUUGCGCAAUGGAGGAAACUCUGACGCAGUGACGCCGCGUGCGGGAAGAAGGUUUUCGGAUUGUAAACUGCUUUAGACAGGGAAGAAACAAGACAGUACCUGUAGAAUAAGCUCCGGCUAACUACGUG
Molecule: ribosomal RNA, 439 nt
Filed under: uncultured Eubacteriales bacterium
Lineage: Bacteria; Bacillati; Bacillota; Clostridia; Eubacteriales
Description: bacterial SSU rRNA
Rfam family: Bacterial small subunit ribosomal RNA
Source: RNAcentral